RNAcentral lists this ribosomal RNA (810 nucleotides) under Triticum aestivum (bread wheat). RNAcentral describes it as "partial small subunit ribosomal RNA". The record is from RNAcentral. Lineage: Eukaryota; Viridiplantae; Streptophyta; Magnoliopsida; Poales; Poaceae.
AUGGCCGACCUCCCGGCGCGUGCCCUCGACAACCGUUUCUACUACAACGGCGCGGCCGGCGAAUCACCGGACGAGGUGUUCGGCCUCGUCUCGUGCUAUGCCGACCGCAACUGGACGGAGUGCCACGACUGCCUCUACACCGCGGCCUCCGGGAUACAGCAGUCGUGCCCGUUCUACCGGCAGAUGAAGGGUGCCUACGACUCGUGCCUUCUCCGCUACUCCAACGAGUCCUUCGUCUCCGUCGCCGACCUCGACUUCGCCAUCUACGUGGAGGACCCGUACGGCCCGUACCCGUCCAGCAUGAACAGGACCUACGUGGACGACCCGUCCAGCAUGAACAGCACGAGAUGGGAUUUGCUCACCCGGUUAGCGGCGGAGGCCGCGCGUUCGCCGCUGCGGCUAGCGAACGGGAGCGUGACGUACGCGGCCAGCUCGCAGUCGCCGACGGCCAUGCACGGUCUGGCGCAGUGCACGAGGGACCUGAACGCAAGCGAGUGCAGCGGGUGCCUUACCAAGUUCGUGGGAGAGCUCUCCAGUGUGUUCCCAAACAACACCUAUGCUGGCAUCAAGGGCUACAGCUGCUACGCCGUAUACAGCAUCGGUGACGGCGAGUUUCUCCGUAUCACCAUUCCACCGCCGUCCAAUCUCCCAUCAGAAGCCCCGCCACUUGCCGCCGACAGGACUAGCAGCAGGACAACGCUGGUGGCCGGCGUGUCUGCCGGUGUCGUCGUUGUAUUCGUCAUCUCAUCGAGUCUCUUGGUUUUUUUUUUUUGCGCUAUCGGAAGCAAAAUCAGAUUGCAAGACAAGUAG